This 342-nucleotide unclassified non-coding RNA is filed under the name soil metagenome. RNAcentral's name for it is "partial contains 5.8S ribosomal RNA, internal transcribed spacer 2, and large subunit ribosomal RNA". The stretch from base 1 to 120 matches the Rfam family "5.8S ribosomal RNA", at positions 35 to 154 of the family's 154-position model. The record is from RNAcentral.
GAUGAAGAACGCAGCGAAAUGCGAUAAGUAAUGCGAAUUGCAGAAUUCAGUGAGUCAUCGAAUCUUUGAACGCACAUUGCGCCCUUUGGUAUUCCAAAGGGCAUGCCUGUUCGAGCGUCAUUUGUACCCUCAAGCUUUGCUUGGUGUUGGGCGUCUUGUCUCUAGCUUUGCUGGAGACUCGCCUUAAAGUAAUUGGCAGCCGGCCUACUGGUUUCGGAGCGCAGCACAAGUCGCACUCUCUAUCAGCAAAGGUCUAGCAUCCAUUAAGCCUUUUUUUUCAACUUUUGACCUCGGAUCAGGUAGGGAUACCCGCUGAACUUAAGCAUAUCAAUAAGCGGAGGA